ACUCAAUAUCGCUCUAUCUGUUUCAAUAAGAGGUUUCCUAGGAUUAUAUAGAGGUUUAUCCUUAUGUAUUUUCUUCUUCAGGUUAAAAUUUGGUAGAUGGAUUUUUUAUGCGAAUCGCUGCUGCUGACUGUGGAAAAUGGGUGCUUGCGGAUCUCUUUUACCCGUGGGAUUAAAUUUGUCGGGUGAAUGCGCAGAUAAGUGAGGGAAGGCGGGAAGGUGUUGACCAGAAAAGAGAUGGAAGGCUGCAAUGUGCUGCUAAUUACCUGAUCCGACUGUAUAGAAUGAUGGAAAAAUUUAGCAAGCUACCCACCUUUCUACAUUUGAUGUGAUAUUUACUGACUUAACAGUAAUUUGUUGAUUUGCAGCGAAGCCUGUUCAGAUAUGCUUCAUUAUUGCUCUGCUACUGAAGCUGCAUCCGGAGGAAGAGAUGCAGAACAAGUGACUAAAAUUAGAAAUAGAAGCUGAGACUCGUGUGUUCAGUGGAGCCCUUAAAACAUGAACCUAUCACUAAAAUAUGAACCUAAUUAGUGAUGUAGUUGAUUGUUACUUCUCCAUGAUGAUGAAAAUUGGGAAGACCUGGAGUUGCCUCCCAGAUCAAACUUGCUUCGGUAUGCAAUUGGAAAGUUCUGUUCUUUGGAUCAUAGUGAGGUCACAGAAUUAUUGCAACAACCACCCCUUUACUGGCUUAUGACUAAACACGUUAUUUUGUUGUAUGAAAUUUCAAAACGCUAGCAUGAGGGAAGACUGUUAUUACUUAAUAUUCCCCAACCAGAUAUCUUUUAAUGUUGUUUUUUAAUUUGUUUCAAUGUAAUUGGUUCUUUAAUCUGUAUCAAUGUAAAUGGGCGUAGAUGAGAUUUGUCUCUA
This is a long non-coding RNA of Nicotiana tabacum (common tobacco), 864 nucleotides long. RefSeq lists it as uncharacterized. The record is from RefSeq and is a predicted model, not a curated record. NCBI's taxonomy places the organism in Eukaryota, Viridiplantae, Streptophyta, Magnoliopsida, Solanales, Solanaceae.